AUGGACAUGAACUACUGUAAUGAUCAAGACCUUCAUGGUUCAAGAUGGAUGGACUGUAGCUCAUUCAGUUUUUCUCCAGCCAUGAAGAGCUUAGCCUAAUCCCUCUGGGGAAGGAGCACCACCAUGCCGUGCUGUUACUCAUUUAGGAAGUCAGUACUCCAUUUGUUGAGUAGGACAGAGGAUUCAUGGCUGUUCAUUGUAACAUCUAAAAAUUGUUCAAAUUAAAUGCUGAAGGACCACACCUGGACCAAUGAUGUGAAUGGAAUGCAUCUGAAUGAAAAUUAUGAUCAAUCAUGUUUGUAACCCCUGAGGUCCAUGGUGAAAAGACAAUUAGUGUAUG
This is a long non-coding RNA of Dama dama (fallow deer), 340 nucleotides long. RefSeq lists it as uncharacterized. The transcript is spliced from 3 exons. Lineage: Eukaryota; Metazoa; Chordata; Mammalia; Artiodactyla; Cervidae. The record is from RefSeq and is a predicted model, not a curated record.